UAUUAAAAAAUUCAUUUAUUUCUACGAUUAAAAAUUGUGUAGUUGUUAAAAUAACCAGAUAAUUACACAUGAUAUGUCACAUGUACCUCAUUUUUACGUACAUGAAUCAGUUUUUAAUAAUAAAAAUAGAAGAAAUUUGCAUUA
Molecule: non-coding RNA, 144 nt
Organism: Gossypium raimondii (Peruvian cotton)
Lineage: Eukaryota; Viridiplantae; Streptophyta; Magnoliopsida; Malvales; Malvaceae
Source: Rfam